GCGGGAAUAGCUCAGUUGAUAGAGCAUUAGCCUUCCAAGCUGAGGGUCGCGGGUUUGAGUCCCGUUUCCCGCUCCA
RNAcentral lists this transfer RNA (76 nucleotides) under Bacteroidetes bacterium ADurb.BinA104. RNAcentral describes it as "tRNA-Gly". It matches the Rfam family "tRNA". Rfam says of the family: Transfer RNA (tRNA) molecules are approximately 80 nucleotides in length. Their secondary structure includes four short double-helical elements and three loops (D, anti-codon, and T loops). Further hydrogen bonds mediate the characteristic L-shaped molecular structure. tRNAs have two regions of fundamental functional importance: the anti-codon, which is responsible for specific mRNA codon recognition, and the 3' end, to which the tRNAs corresponding amino acid is attached (by aminoacyl-tRNA synthetases). tRNAs cope with the degeneracy of the genetic code in two manners: having more than one tRNA (with a specific anti-codon) for a particular amino acid; and 'wobble' base-pairing, i.e. permitting non-standard base-pairing at the 3rd anti-codon position. The record is from RNAcentral. RNAcentral also lists the same sequence under 4 other names. Lineage: Bacteria; Pseudomonadati; Bacteroidota.